AGCGCAGGGAAGGGCAGAGGUUGGAGGAGCCAGUCCAACCAGUCAGAGCCCAGUUGUGCCUCCCAGUUGUGCUCACUCAGCACCUGGGGCUGUUCCCAGCCACACAAACCCGGCGUGAGCAGAGCUCAGCACUGCCCAGGGCCUGCACACUGCCAGGGGCUCACACACCAUCAGCCUCGGGGUCACAGCGAUCCACAGGCCAUGGAAAUGUCCUGCAGGCCCCAGGCUGAGCUUCCUGCAGCAGCGCAGAGGGCUGGGCUGGGUGCGGGUGCUGGAUCACCCCAGUCACAGAAUCGGCGCCCAAACCCCGCAGAUCAGCAGCAGCAGGGCCACAGAGCAGCCCCCACAGGGCCCUGGAUCGCAGCUGUGCCCUGCAGGGACCCAGAGCCUCCUUCCCCCGGGCAGGGCAGGGCACCCAUCUCCCUCGGGUUUAUUGCAGCUCCCUGCGGUCGCACUAAGCAGCUUUGGGGCACCGAGAUCCAGCGACAGCACAACACGUGGACAGCGCGGCCAGGAAACCCUUGUGGAAGCCUUGGGAACGUACAAGUGGCCCUGGGUACCUGCAGGCUCAGCAGGAGGAGCAGCCAAGGAGCACCUGAGGAGUUUCUGCUGGGGACACACACAUACACACAGACCCAGCUCUGAUGCAGAAAAUCCCAUAAUCACCCUCAGCUGCCAAGGAACAGCAUCAGCUCAGGCGCACGGCACUGACCUCAGCAAGGGCUGUGUCAUAAUCCGUUUUUCAGACUGGCCACAACUUCCAGUGCGAGGCAGAGCUGACAAAGGCAGAAGGGCAAAUCCUGGAGCCCAGCUGGCCGAGGCUGAGGGCGGCCAGGCUGUUUUAUGUGGUUCAAAUAAGGUGUCCUCUUUGGGCCUGACAAAGAGAAAGAUGUAUCAGUUCAUGAACUGCUGCUGCCUGAGCAAGCCAGCCAAACUCUGCCCUCCUCAUUGCCUGUUCCCGACUGAGUCCCGGGCAGAGCAGAGCUCUCUCAUCCCGCCGGGAUCCGGAGCUGGACGUGCUCUGCAGCUUACCCAGGCUGGGGAGGAAUCGCACCAAACCGUGCUCGUCCCUGGGCAUUUAGUUUUAUUGCGAGCAUUAGCGGUUUGUCUCCUCUGGCAACAGGAGAAGCUGGAAAUGUCAAAGGGGAGGGUUAACAAACUCCGCUG
RNAcentral lists this long non-coding RNA (1167 nucleotides) under Junco hyemalis (dark-eyed junco). Its description in RNAcentral is "lncRNA (ENSJHYG00000005762.1)". Lineage: Eukaryota; Metazoa; Chordata; Aves; Passeriformes; Passerellidae. The record is from RNAcentral.